Molecule: transfer RNA, 72 nt
Filed under: Pogonomyrmex barbatus (red harvester ant)
Lineage: Eukaryota; Metazoa; Arthropoda; Insecta; Hymenoptera; Formicidae
Description: tRNA-Ser
Rfam family: tRNA
About the family: Transfer RNA (tRNA) molecules are approximately 80 nucleotides in length. Their secondary structure includes four short double-helical elements and three loops (D, anti-codon, and T loops).
Source: Rfam by way of RNAcentral
GCCUCGGUAAUCUAAUGGAUAAGAUGCCUGCCCGGAGAGCAGGCGAUCCAGGUUCGAUCCCUGGCUGAGGUA